Molecule: ribosomal RNA, 497 nt
Filed under: uncultured bacterium
Lineage: Bacteria
Description: partial 16S ribosomal RNA
Rfam family: Bacterial small subunit ribosomal RNA
Source: RNAcentral
GAUGAACGCUGGCGGCGUGCCUAAUACAUGCAAGUCGAGCGAACAGACGAGGAGCUUGCUCCUCUGACGUUAGCGGCGGACGGGUGAGUAACACGUGGAUAACCUACCUAUAAGACUGGAAUAACUUCGGGAAACCGGAGCUAAUACCGGAUCACAUGUUGAACCGCAUGGUUCAACAGUGAAAGACGGUUUUGCUGUCACUUAUAGAUGGAUCCGCGCCGCAUUAGCUAGUUGGUAAGGUAACGGCUUACCAAGGCAACGAUGCGUAGCCGACCUGAGAGGGUGAUCGGCCACACUGGAACUGAGACACGGUCCAGACUCCUACGGGAGGCAGCAGUAGGGAAUCUUCCGCAAUGGGCGAAAGCCUGACGGAGCAACGCCGCGUGAGUGAAGAAGGUCUUCGGAUCGUAAAACUCUGUUAUUAGGGAAGAACAAAUGUGUAAGUAACUAUGCACGUCUUGACGGUACCUAAUCAGAAAGCAACGGCUAACUACGUG